CGCAAAAGUGACAUUACACACCUUCUCUCAUGAGAACAAUGAGCACAUGUUGCAGCAUUCUGCUUCUUUGUUUAACCAACAGUAUUAAGAUUUUCCUGUAAGAGGCAAGGUUGAAGAAAAUUUCUCUGUACGAAGAUCGUUUGUGGAUCCCACAUUACUUCCCUUCUCUCUCGGUAUAGUCCAGAGGUAAAUACAUUCAGAUUAUUCUAAAGCAUGUUCAACAACGGCUAUAUGUGAAUAUUGCACUGAUUGUGUGUUUGUCAGAUUAUGUUGAGUAAAUGGCAGGACGCAGAGUAGCGAUAUAGGCUUUUAUUAAUAAAAAAAUAUAUAUAUAAGCACAGUCCAGGGCAACAAACAAGAUGACGGGCUGGAGCAGGGCUGAAACAGACAAAUAGGACAGGAACCGACUGGCAGACACAAAACAGGGAACAUAUCCACAACAAAAUGGCACAAGACAACAAAAAAACUAAAAAACAGUGGGGUUAAAUAGGGAAGAAAACAAGGAGAUAACGAGGAGGGCAAGUGAAAACAACUAAUAAUCAGACAGAUAAGAAGGCAAAUGAAAGGGCGGGGUUAUCACUGAAGACAGACACGAAUGCAAAAGGGAAUGAGAAAACACAAACCGAAGUGCAUUUACACAGCACGAGACAAAACACAAGUGCCUGGAUUCAGUCACAGAGUAAAUAAAUCAAACCAACUGAAAUUGCUGAAUCCAGACACAAGACAUAAAACAGACAUAGAACACGUACAUGUCAGGGCUCUGCCACAAAGGGGAAAGCCCCAAAACUAAGGGCAGAACCCUGACAGUGUUUGAUUGAUUUUCACAAGGGUGCGGUGUAUAUUAAUUACUGUUUCCUUUUAUUUUUCCUGUUGUUUAUGUAUACACUUGUCAGAGUUGCCUUGAUACAGUAUAUUCUCACUGAAGUGAGAGAUACUUUCCAGUGUUUAUUUUUACAGUGUGUGUUGUGUUGUGCCUGCCUCUGUUGAUUAAUCUGAAAUGCGUUGAUUGAUCACUUGUAUUUCUCUUGGCUGAUUGAUUUUAACUUUAUUGUAAUGAUCUCUCUUUCCAGAGUGGCAUAGUUGUAGUAAAUUAUAGAGGUGGCCACAACAUUAUGAAUGCUCCAAGGCUUUAGCCAAUAUGUUAUAGUACAUGUUCACAUAACAUAGAAGUUGAGUAAUAUCCUAAUAUCAUUCAUUCUUGUACAUAGAACAUUUUAAACACAUUUAACAUUUCAGAUAGGAGGUAGAUACUAUUGUGUGCUUGAAGAAAAAGAUUUGGCUUCUCAUUAACAACUUUAAAAUGCCAUGUUCAAAAGGCAUAAAAUCUUUUCUUUCUCUUUUUUCUGGCUUUUAUUUACACAGCAUUGGCUACAUUCAUAAUUAUUCAAAUGAACAAAUUAAUGCCAAAUCAGUGAAUGAACACAGAACACGCCUGAAGGCAUUGAGAAGUCAAAAAACUAACAAUGUCUGCAUUGUUUUUAGAAUCUCUCUUUUUAAAAGGUGUUAAAAACAAAAGCACACAGUCUAGAUGUGUGAAAACAUUUAUACUCAUUUCUUACAUGCUGGAUUUUUAGAAAAGGAACUACUCUCUCUGUUGUCUCUCAUUUGGCUAGUGUUUUAAAGGCAAUUUAAAAUGCAUUGCUUUAAUGUAGAAAAAAGCAGUAUCACAUCGAUUCAGCCUUCAGAAUCAUGAAUCUUGAUUUUUCCACCUAGAUCAGACUGGAAACAGAAUAUAAUUUUCCCAUUCUGGUAUUGGAGGGAGAAGAAAUAACAAUAAAAAAAUUAAAAAAAUUAAACAAAAUAAAUAAUAAUAGUAAAAAUAAAUUCUUUCAUUUGAGAGCAGCUCUGAAAUGUCUAAUGCAGAAUGACUGUGAUUUGUAAAGCCCAGAGUACAAUAUAAGAUAUAUUAAGGGCAGCAAAUCAAUGCUAGUCCAGUUAAUAUUUUAACAAAAAGGUAGAAUCCAUCCACUCACAUUAUGGAACAUACAUGUAUAACAAGCAAUGAAAAGGGGAAUUAUUUCUGUGAAUUGCCAUAUUGCAUAUUAGUACAGUUUCACUAUUAUAUUUUAAAUGCACCUUAGCAUAACUGAUAAUGAAUUUGCUCAUGGUUGUGAAAGGCACUGAUUAAAUUAAAGUGGCUUCUGUGUUAAAAUGAGAUGUGGUCUGAUUUUAACAUUCUUAUUUUGUAAUUAUUUAUUUAUUUACUAACAAUAAAUAAAAUGCUUAAUGCCUUAAUGUGUAUUUAUUUUUGUUUUAGAGGAUGAGAGACCCAGUGGAAAGAGCUUGUGCCCUGAAGAGGAAAAUCCUGAUUUAAAUUCCCCCCAGUGCGCUUUCUUUGACAGCUGCCAUUGUGCCCAUAAACCUUUCACUUUAACUGUCAGCCGCUCCAGAGGCAUUGCUGUACACCUGCCCAUGUGCUCUAAUCCAUUCUCUCUAUCUGUGACUGAAGUGCAGUCACACUAUCUCAUAUUUAUAAGUAAUUAAACUUAUUGCGGUUAAAAAUGCACUAUAAAUCCAAAGAUUACAGAGCCUGUGACGGAAUUGUCUGAACUGAGGUGAGAACGGCAUGACAAUGACGUUUUGAUAAUGCAGGCAAAAAGUCCCUACGGUGACAUAUUCGUUCGGAAAGUAGAUUAGGUGGAGUACUUAAAAUUUUUCAUUUAUUAAGAGAACCCCAGAACAUCAUAUCCUGUUGCUUAUAUUUGUUACGGGAUCUAGGGUUGGACGAUGUGACCAAAAUCUUAUAUCAUGAUGUAAGUAAUUUUAUAUCACGAUAACGAUAUAGUUAGAUUUAAAAAAAAAAAAAAAAAAAAAUAAUAAUAAAAUUAAAUCUAUAAAAAUUGGUUUAUAUAAUAUUGUUUUUUUUUUUUUAUAAUCCAGUUAGUGAAUUAAAUAUUUUAUAAAUGAAAAUUUGGAACUUGACAAACAUAGUCAAAGUAAAAAAAAAAAAAAAUGUCCAUACACACAAACCUUAUUUUCCUGGCUCAGAUGAACCCUCAGUGUCAGAAUGGCUGUCAGACACGUGAAGAUAGUUUCACAUUAUUUGAUUCUCAUUCUCUGAUGUCUGUUUUAGGGAAAGAUGCUUGCUGCUAUAUUGCUGCUUGUUGUGUGUAUCUGCUAUGGUCUACUGUCAUCAAAAAACUGUGUCGGCACUCCGAGUCCCUACUCACAUUAAUAUGAGGGAGAGAGGCAACUGUCGCACAUUGUGCUAACACGGCAACCUCCACCACCCCACCACCACAAGUCCAGUCCCGUCCUGCACGGGGGUAGGCUCCUCGCCCCUGCCUCCUAUCUCCGGCAGGAUAUGACGGUUCCGAGUACAACUUCUUUGGACCGCCAGAUGGGGCUUACGCCAAAGUCUGCAAGUCUUCCUGAUAGAACUGCUGAUCUCCUGAGAUUUUCAAGCUCAACAGUCUCUAGAAUUUAAUCAAAAUUGUGCCAAAAACAAAAAACAUCCAGCGACACGAGGGGGACCUACACAAUAUUUGGCAGGUGGUUUUAAUAUUGUGGCUGAUCGGUGUAUUAUCAGGCUAUAUGAAUUUUCUAAAUUUUGCGUGGCCGAUAGGUUACUAAGAGGAGAAAGACAUACUUUAACCCACCUUUUUUGUUUUCCCCAAUGUGAAAUGAGAAGUUUGUCAUUUUUUGGGCCACAAGUCUUUUUAUUUCCACAAUGAAUCUUUGCUUGUGGUAACUAAUUAUAUACAGUACAAGAGGGGGAAGGGGGCUACUUCCCCCUCUUGUGUUCAUUCUCAACAUCUGUAAUGUUUUGUAUUUGUGAUUAGUCUUAUUAUAGGCCUAUUUGACAAAAUCCAUCUUUCUUUUUAUAUGUUAGCCUUUGUUCGUGAUGGAGUGGUAUUGGAGCAAUGGAAAUGCUGAUUUUUUUUUUUCCAGAAAAAAAGAAAAUAAAAUGCUUCUCUGGAGGGAAAAUCUCGCCGUUUUGCUUCUAUUCUACUACCAUAACAUGAGUCCCGUUCACUGAUUGGGACAAUUGGGACCACAGUCGGCUACGAUGUGUAUCGUACAGUCUGACAUAAUGUCGCACAGUGUACCAUGGUGUUAUCAAUGCAUUCAUAUUGUACAGUCUGACAAGCAACAAUCUUAAAGGUCUGUAAAAAUCGUAAAGUUUAUUUAAGCUUUAAGAGCGUUAAACACAUCAAGAGAAUUUUAUUUGCAUCCCUGUUCUUUCAACAUGUAGCUACUGUCAUACUGUAUUGACCCAGAUACACAAACAAACUGCAUCCAAAAGAAUAGUCAAAUAUUCCAAAACAUGUCCAAAAACAAAAAACAGAAGACCAACCCAAUGAAUAAUACAGCUGCUUGAGUGUUUAGAAUGUGUUUAUAUACUAAAUGAGCUGAAAGGUGCACCAGCAAAAAACAUCCUGGUUACUUUCAUAACCUCCAUUCCCUGAUGGAGGGAACGAGACAUUGUGUCAAUGUAGUGACACUAGGGGUCACUCUUGGGAAUUGGCAAGUGGAAUUUGCAUGCCACUACCCUGGACAUAUGGGUAUAAAAGGAGCUGGUAUGCAACCACUCAUUCAGGAUUUGUGCUGAGGAGCCGAGACAAGGUCCCGGCCAUUUCAGUGGGUAGUUCAGUGUUGUGGCAAGAGGGACACAACGUCUCAUUCCCUCCAUCAGGGAACAGAGGUUAUGAAAGAAACCAGGACAUUCCCUAUCUAUCACUCACUCGACGUUGUGUCGAUGUUAUAUGCCCCAGGAGCCUCUGAAAAUGUUUCAGUGGAACCGCUGUCUUCUGUCUGAACACCUUCAGACAGUUCAGCACCGACUGUGCAUGCUCAUUCGUGAGGCACCGUCAUCGAGACUGAGUCAAACUCCAAGUCGAGAAAAAAUAUGCUCUGAACCGGGGAGAGCUUGCUCUUUUCCCAGUUGACCCGAAGCCCCAGUCGGCUGAGAUGCGUGAGCACCAGGUCCCUGUACGCACACAACACAUCCCGAGAGUGAGCUAGGAUUUGCCAGUCGUCGAGAUAAUUGAGGAUGCGGUCACCCACUUCCCUUAGCGGGACAAGGGCUGCCUCUGCGACCUUCAUGAAGACACGAGGGGACAAGGAUAGGGCUUUCUCUGCACUCCACGGGUGCAGAGGGGGAGAAGCCACUGAAAUUUGCCAUAAAUCCAGCAGUUUGAGGUGAACGGUAGGAAGAAAUUGAAUUCAGUGCACUGAAUGCAACCGUUCGGCUCCAAAGAGAAAAUCUGAAUGAGUGGUUGCAUGCCAGCUCUUUUUAUACCCUUAUGUCCGGGGGACUGGCAUGCAAAUUCCACUCGCCAAUUCCCAUUGGCCUUUUUAAAAAAAGAAGAGGUGUUUGGGGCUCCCAAGAGUGACCCCUAGUCGAAGAAACUCUGACUGGCUUGGAGUCUGAUGAAAUAAAAUUGAAUUGUUUGGCCAUAAUGACCAUCAUUAUGUUUGGAGGAAAAAGGGUGAGGCUUGCAAGCCGAAGAACACCAUCCCAACCGUGAAGCAUGGGGGUGGCAGCAUCAUGUUGUGGGGGUGCUUUGCUGUAGGAGGGACUGGUGCACUUCACAAAAUAGAUGGCAUCAUGAGGAAGGAAAAUUAUGUGGAUAUACUGAAGCAACAUCUCAAGACAUCAGCCAGAGAGUUAAAGCUCGGUCGCAAAUGGGUCUUCCAAAUGGACAAUGUCCCCAAGCAUACCUCCAAAGUUGUGGCAAAAUGGCUUAAGGACAACAAAGUCAAGGUAUUGGAGUGGCCAUCACAAAGUCCUGAUCUCAAUCCAAUAGAAAAUUUGUGGGCAGAACUGAAAAAGCAUGUGCGAGCAAGAAGGCCUACAAACCUGAUUCAGUUACACCAGUUCUGUCUGGAGGAAUGGGCCAAAAUUCCAGCAACUUAUUGUGAGAAGCUUGUGGAAGGCUACCCAAAAUGUUCGACCCAAGUAAAAAAAUGUAAAGGCAAUGCUACCAAAUACUAACAAAGUGUAUGUAAACUUUUGACCCACUGGAAAUGUGAUGAAAGAAAUAAAAGCUGAAAUAAAUCAUUCUCUCUACUAUUAUUCUGAUAUUUCACAUUCUUAAAAUAAAGUAGUGAUCCUAACUGACCUAAGACAGGGAAUGUUUUCUACGAUUAAAUGUCAGGAAUUGUGAAAAACUGAGUUAAAAUGUAAUUUGGCUAAGGUGUAUGUAAACUUCUGACUUCAACUAUAUAUGUAGCCUACCAUAAAUGAAAGAAUAUAAAUUCAAUCCUCAUUCUGACAAUACGUUUUGUAACAAAGCUGAAUGGUUGAGCUUGAUGAAUGCAGUCAACACUGCAAUUUGUAUAAAAAAAUUGAGAAAAUGAAUUGAAAUUAUUUACUUGUCUUCCUGCCAUGCUGUAGAAAGGGGUCAAAUAAUGUUAUGUCUUUGGGUGUAUUAAUUUUAUGGAAUGUAAAUUUUUUUGUAAUCGAGGAAAUGUAUGCGGCAGUGUGAGACACAGCUAAAUUAGGCUUUUGGUAAUUAAAAUUAAUUAAUAAAAUUGCAUUUUACUACAAUAAAUGUAAUAUCCAUUCAACCUAUUCAAAAUUAUGAUAUUGCUGUGUGAUUUAGUUAUGUGAGUCACGAAGGUCUUUGAGGUGGGUCAGGACAAA
Myxocyprinus asiaticus (Chinese sucker) is the source of this 6589-nucleotide long non-coding RNA. RefSeq lists it as uncharacterized. Lineage: Eukaryota; Metazoa; Chordata; Actinopteri; Cypriniformes; Catostomidae. The transcript has 3 exons. The record is from RefSeq and is a predicted model, not a curated record.